UACAGAGGGUGCAAGCGUUAAUCGGAAUUACUGGGCGUAAAGCGUGCGUAGACGGUUAUGUAAGUCGGGUGUGAAAGCCCCGGGCUCAACCUGGGAAUUGCAUUCGAGACUGCAUAGCUAGGGUGCGGAAGAGGGAAGCGGAAUUUCCGGUGUAGCGGUGAAAUGCGUAGAUAUGGGGAGGAACACCGGUGGCGAAGGCGGCCAUCUGGACGGCUAUUGACGCUGAGACGCGAAAGCAUGGGGAGCAAACAGG
This 253-nucleotide ribosomal RNA is filed under the name uncultured bacterium. RNAcentral's name for it is "partial 16S ribosomal RNA". It matches the Rfam family "Bacterial small subunit ribosomal RNA", at positions 524 to 776 of the family's 1533-position model. The record is from RNAcentral.